Orcinus orca (killer whale) is the source of this 2611-nucleotide long non-coding RNA. RefSeq lists it as uncharacterized. The record is from RefSeq and is a predicted model, not a curated record. Lineage: Eukaryota; Metazoa; Chordata; Mammalia; Artiodactyla; Delphinidae. The transcript has 2 exons.
UUUUUUUUUUUUUUUUUUUUGCGGUACGCGGGCCUCUCAGUGUUGUGGCCUCUCCCGUUGCGGAGCACAGGCUCCGGACGCACAUGCUCAGCGGCCAUGGCUCACGGGCCUAGCCGCUCCGUGGCAUGUGGGAUCUUCCCGGACCGGGGCACAAACCCGUGUCCCCUGCAUCGGCAGGUGGACUCUCAACCACUGCGCCACCAGAGAAGCCCCAGACUUCCCUUUUAACAUAUGGAUAAAUAGUAACCUCUCAGUAAAAUCUUGGAGUCCUCUCAUGGCAGUAAUUGUGCACGUACUGAUGGGAAGGAACUCGCCACAGUGAGUAACAUGCUCUGUUCCCCUCUCUUUGAUUAUCACUUUGACAUCUGUCACAAACAUACCUUCUGUUCCUCUAAUAAUAUCUAUGGGUCUAUUUUGCUGUCAGCAGCAAAGCUUCCCUGAGUAAUCUCAAAACCCUGAAGAAACAAUACCUUGGUGUCACAUUCUUCUCAAGGUUUAUUUUGUAGGCAACUUUGCCAACAACAACCUCUGUUUAUGUAUUAUACCCUGGGGGUGUCCACUGCUCCAGCCACUACCCUAAGGGUGUCCCUUAUCUUUAGGUCCAAGACCCUCCCCUCUAUCCUGGUCAGGCCCUUUGCUGACCCUAUUCCCUGUCCUUCCCUGGGGCUCAAAUCCAGGCCUUAUCUGUCUUAGAGACCAUGGAUGGUUGGGGCCUCAGGUACUGUCUUAAGGGCACUUGGAACACUUCAAUGUCAACCAGAGAAUGUUACUCAGAGAGGUCUGUCCAGACUUGUCUGGCCCCAGCCCUCUGGCAAGUCUAGACAUCUCCACCUCUAGUCAAACGAUCUCCCUGGUAUGUCCAAAGGUGAGCUUUGCAUCUCUCCUGCACCUGCUGCUAUCUCAACCUCAGCGAGGGCACCUCCAGCCAGCUGGUCACCUGUGCCAGGAACCUGAGAAUCAUGGAGCCUCCUCUCCCUCCCUCCCUGCCCUCCUCCAAUCACUCAGUCCUGGCCAUCCCUCAGUGAUAUCCUGGGGAUUGUCCACUUCUCACCUUCAGUAGCCUCAUCUAUGUUCUUAUUUCAUCUUCUCUCAUCUGAACCUUGAGCAGUGGACUCCUUCAGUCUCUGCCCUCAAUCCGUGCUCCAUGCAGCAGCAGGGAGGAAGCCUGCUGGCAGCACAUCCACCCUCAUCAUUCUCCUGCUCAAAACCUUUCCAUGACUCCCCAUUGCCCUCAGGAUAAAAUUAGCUCCUUGUCCUGAUAUUUGAGGCUCUUCACGAUCUGGACCCUGCCAGCCUCACCAGCUCACCUCCCACUGCUGUUCCACUGACUGCCGAGCAUUCUCCUGCUCCCAGCCUUGGUUCAAGGUGAUCCCUCCACCUGGAAUGCUCCCUCCUUCCUAAUCCUUAGAUUCCUUCACCUUCAAUCAUCUGGAGAGUCCACAGCGGCGGGAAUCAACUGGUUAUCCAGGGAGGAUUGAUAAACAAGGCUUUUCUCAGGGCACAUGUGUAUGUUUAGCAUCAGUCAACGUUUAUCUGUUUAUUCAUGUAUAUAUAGGCUUGUUUCGAAAAGGAUUUGAGGGCUUCCCUGGUGGCACAGUGGUUGAGAGUCCGCCUGCCGAUGCAGGGGACACGGGUUCGUGCCCUGGUCCGGGAGGAUCCCAUGUGCCGCGGAGCGGCUGGGCCCGUGAGCCAUGGCUGCUGAGCCUACGCGUCCGGAGCCUGUGCUCCGCAGCAGGAGAGGCCGCAACAGUGAGAGGCCCGCGUACCGCAAAAAAAAAAAAAAAAAAAACAGGAUGUGAGGUGGACCAUUACACAUUUACUGAGUUGUAGCCAACCGCCGCAAAAUCCAUGUGCGCAUGUGCAUCCACGCUCCCUCUGGCAGACAUGAGACCCAGGAACCGCAAGGGCCAGGGCACAGGGCUCCAAGAUCUCUUCCCCUUUCCUCUUGCAACAUUGCCCAGUGGGGGACAGGGUGGCGAUGGAGGUAGUGGGGGCUGAAACUGCGGGAGCCGCUCAGGCUCCAGAUUCCCCUCAGGAAGGAGCCCUGGUCCCCAGCCAAUGAGCAGCCCUGUGGUCACAGCACACUCCGGAGUUCCCAGCACGCUUUCCAUCCUCCGUUCAUCUCCCAACCAGCCUGUGACUAUGUAUCACUGUAUCCAUUUCAUCAGAGAGGAAACCAAAGACCUGAAUGUUGGUGACAGAGCAAGGACUCCAUCCCUCCGUCCUCAGAGGCUAAAAUCCUUCUUCUGUCAACUAUUCCAGGUGCCAUCUGCUCCUGAAUCCUCUGGGCACAGCACAGGGAGCUCAAGAAGUAGGUUGGGGGUUUCCCUGGUGGCCCAGUGGUUAAGAAUCCGCCUGCCAAUGCAGGCAACAUGGGUUCGAGCCCUGGUCCGGGAAGAUCCCCCAUGCCGCGGAGCAACUAAGCCCGUGUGCCACAGCUACUGAGCCUGCGCUCUAGAGCCUGUGAGCCACAGCUACUGAGCCCGCGUGCCUAGAGCCCGUGCUCAGCAACAAGAGAAGCCACCACAAUAAGAAGCCUGUGCACCGCAAUGAAGAGUAGCCUCCGUUCGUCGCAACUUGAGAAAGCCCGCGCACAGCAACGAAGACCCAA